GGAUGGAGACGAGCUGGGAAGGAGGGCACAGGGCGCGUCCCGGUGCGGCCUGCUGCAGCCCAGCCUGCCCACGCAGCGGCACAGUGCGGCCCUGUGUGCAGGCCCUGGCUGCGCACAGCUCGGGGAACGCUGCUGCUCUGCUGCCCAGCGCCUCUUACCCAGCAGAGCAGCCUUGCAGCGCGCUGUCUGCGUGUCCCUGUGGCUGUCUGUCCCCGUGUCCCUGUGACCCCGUGUCUGUGUCCCCAUGUCCGUGUGUCCCUGUCCUCAUGUGUCCAUCUGUCCCCUUGUCCGUGUGUCCCUGUAUCCCCAUGUCCCUGUGUCCCCACGUCCAUCUGUCCCCAUGUCCUUCUGUCCCUGUAUCUGGGUCCCUGUGUCCGUGUGUCCCCAUGUCCCCAUGUCCGUGUGUCUGUCCCGUUGUCCGAGUGUCCCUAUAUCCAAGUGUCCUUGUGUGUCCCCAUUUCCGUGUGUCCCCCUGUCUGUCUGUCCCCGUGUCCAUGUGUCCCCGUGUCCAUGUGUCCCCAUGUAUCCAUGUGUCCCCGUGUCUGCAUGUCCCCAUGUCCCCAUGUCCAUCUGUCCCCAUAUCUGUGUCCGUGUGUCCCUGUGUCUGUCCCCGUAUCUGUGUUCCCAUGUCUGUCCCCGUGUGUCCCCAUGUCUGUAUAUCAGAGUCCCCGUGGGUCCCUGUGUCCGUGUGUCCCCGUGGGCACUACUGGGGCACCACUGUGGCACAAAUGACACUGCCAUGGCACUAUGGGGGCACAGUGGUUGCACUAUGGGGGCACUAUGGCAGCACUGUGGUGGCACUGCUGUGUCACAAAUGUCACUGUGGUGGCACACAUUGCACCAUGGUGGCACAAAUGACACCAUCGUGGCACUAUGGGGGCACGAUGGUGGCACAUGGAGCACUAUGGUGGCACUAUGGGGGCACUGUUGUGUCAAAGAUGUCACUGUGGUGGCACAAAUUGCACCAUGGUGGCACAAAUGACAGUAUGGGGGCACAUGGUGCGCUAUGGGGGCACUAUGCGGGCAAUGUUGUGUCACAAAUGUCACUGUUAUGGCACAAGUUGCACCAUGGUGGCACAAAUGACAGUAUUGGGGCACUAUGGGGGCACUGCUGCGUCACAACUGACACCGUGGUGGCACCGUGGUGGCAGAGCUUAGGCACUACUCAUGGCACUAUGGUGUCACAAGGAUGGCACCACGGUGGCACAAAGGGCACUAUGGAGGCACUAUGGUGGCACUAUGGGGGCACUAUGGGGACACUGUGGUGACACUGUUGUGUCACUGAUGUGUCACUGAUGUCACUGUGAUGGCACACAUUGCACCAUGGUGGCACAAAUGACAGUAUGGAGGUACUAUGGUGGCACUGUUGUGGCACUGUUGUGGCACAAAGGGCACUAUGGGGGCACUGUGGUUGCACAACUGAGGUGUCAUGGCACAAUGGUGGCACAAAGGGCACAACGGUGGCACAAUGGUGGCAUUAUUGUGGCACAAAUGGCACUGCUGGGUCACAAAGGGCACCACGGUGGCACUAUGGUGGUACAACUGAGCGUGUCAUGGCACAAUGGUGGCACAAAGGGCACUAUGGUGACAUUGUUGCAUCACCAAUGGCACCAUGGUGGCACAUGGAGCACUAUGGUGGCACCAUGGUGGCACCAAUGCUGGUGACGUGGCACGACGUGGCACUAGGGUGGCUCUGUGGUGGCAGCGAUUUGCAGACAGCACCAGACAUCCCCCCUCCUCCCUCCCACCCUUCUCUCCUCCCUCCUUCUUCCCCAUCCUCCUCCUCUUUCCCCCCUUUCCUCCAUCCUUCUCUUUCUCUCUCCUGUCCUCCCCCUCCCCUUCUAUCUCCUUCUCCUCCCCUUCUAUCCCCUCCCUUCUCCCUCCUGUCCUCCCCUCACCAUUCUCCCUCCAUCCUUCUCUCCCCCAUCCUCCUCCCUCCCACCCUUCUCUCCUCCAUCCUUCUCCCCCAUCCUCUUCCCCCAACCGUUCCUCCCACCCUCCCUCCUUCUCCCCUCCGUCCUCCCUCUAUCCACCCUUCUCCCUCCCGUCUUCUCUGCCUCCUGUUCUUCUCCCCCUUCUCCUUCCCUCCUUCUCCCUCCUGUCCUCCCCCAUCCUUCUCUCUCUCUCCUGUCCUCCCCCUCCCCCUUCUAUCCCCUUCCUUCUCCCUCCCUCCUCCUCCCCCACCCUUCUCUCCUCCAUCCUUCUCCCUCCCUCCCUUUUUCCUCCCUCCUUCUCCCCUCCCACACUUCUCCCUCUCGCAUUCUCCCU
Numida meleagris (helmeted guineafowl) is the source of this 2268-nucleotide long non-coding RNA. NCBI's taxonomy places the organism in Eukaryota, Metazoa, Chordata, Aves, Galliformes, Numididae. The record is from Ensembl.